ACGAACGCUGGCGGCGUGCCUCAUACAUGCAAGUAGGACGCUGAAGAGAGGAGCUUGCUCUUCUUGGAUGAGUUGCGAACGGGUGAGUAACGCGUAGGUAACCUGCCUUGUAGCGGGGGAUAACUAUUGGAAACGAUAGCUAAUACCGCAUAACAAUGGAUGGCACAUGUCAUUUAUUUGAAAGGGGCAAUUGCUCCACUACAAGAUGGACCUGCGUUGUAUUAGCUAGUAGGUGAGGUAACGGCUCACCUAGGCGACGAUACAUAGCCGACCUGAGAGGGUGAUCGGCCACACUGGGACUGAGACACGGCCCAGACUCCUACGGGAGGCAGCAGUAGGGAAUCUUCGGCAAUGGGGGCAACCCUGACCGAGCAACGCCGCGUGAGUGAAGAAGGUUUUCGGAUCGUAAAGCUCUGUUGUAAGUCAAGAACGAGUGUGAGAGUGGAAAGUUCACACUGUGACGGUAGCUUACCAGAAAGGGACGGCUAACUACGUG
This 496-nucleotide ribosomal RNA is filed under the name uncultured bacterium. RNAcentral describes it as "partial 16S ribosomal RNA". It matches the Rfam family "Bacterial small subunit ribosomal RNA", at positions 29 to 507 of the family's 1533-position model. The record is from RNAcentral.